GGAUGUUUCUCGACCUUUGUACAAUUUCAAGCCUAAGCAACAAUAAGGGCGAUUUAACCCGUGAAACAUCAGCUAACGAGCAAGCUAAUUUUCCAUAAAACUUAUCAACAAAAUAUCAUCCAAAUCCUUUGAACAAUGUGGGAAGGUCGUGGUGUGUUCCCUUACUUUACAUGGAAGAAACUGAAAGGUUAUGGUAAAAGUUCCAUGAAAUGUGUGAGCUUCAUUUCAGUUUGCUGGUCUAGUCUCUGACAUGGAGAGUACAGAGAUUCCUUCCCGGAACCAGCAGCACUCGAGGGAGGAUGUGGAAUUUUGAGAGAUCCCUCAGUGCAGUCAGGCUGCUGGAGCUUUAAGGAGAAAAGGCAGCAAAUAAAACAAAAGUCAAUUUCUCCAAAUAUAAGAGUUUAGGCUUCUUCUGGUUAUAAUGCAUUUCUUAAAUCCUACAUCUGUGUCACUUGUUUAAUUUUACUUCAAUACAAAACUGCAGCAUCUUAAAAAAAGAAAUUCAAAGUAACACCCAUGCACCACUGACACGACCCAGCAGC
Molecule: long non-coding RNA, 542 nt
Organism: Vidua macroura (Pin-tailed whydah)
Lineage: Eukaryota; Metazoa; Chordata; Aves; Passeriformes; Viduidae
Exons: 3
Source: RefSeq, a predicted model, not a curated record